This 198-nucleotide ribosomal RNA is filed under the name uncultured bacterium. Its description in RNAcentral is "partial 16S ribosomal RNA". It matches the Rfam family "Bacterial small subunit ribosomal RNA", at positions 326 to 539 of the family's 1533-position model. The record is from RNAcentral.
ACGCUCGACACCUACGGAAGGCAGCAGUGGGGAAUAUUGCACAAUGGGGGAAACCCUGAUGCAGCGACGCCGCGUGGAGGAAGAAGGUCUUCGGAUUGUAAACUCCUGUUGUUGGGGAAAAAGAGGAUGGUACCCAACAAGGAAGUGACGGCUAACUACGUACCAGCAGCCGCGGUAAUCUGAGCGGGCUGGCAAGGC